This 253-nucleotide ribosomal RNA is filed under the name uncultured bacterium. Its description in RNAcentral is "partial 16S ribosomal RNA". It matches the Rfam family "Bacterial small subunit ribosomal RNA", at positions 524 to 776 of the family's 1533-position model. The record is from RNAcentral.
GACGAACCGUGCGAACGUUGUUCGGAUUCACUGGGCUUAAAGGGCGCGUAGGCGGUUCGCCAAGUCCGGGGUGAAAUCUUUCGGCUCAACCGGAAAAUUGCCUUGGAUACUGGCGGGCUAGAAGAGGGUAGGGGCUGCGGGAACUUCCAGUGGAGCGGUGAAAUGCGUUGAUAUUGGAAGGAACGCCGGUGGCGAAAGCGCGUGGCUGGACCCUCCUUGACGCUGAGGCGCGAAAGCUAGGGUAGCGAACGGG